This 253-nucleotide ribosomal RNA is filed under the name uncultured bacterium. RNAcentral's name for it is "partial 16S ribosomal RNA". It matches the Rfam family "Bacterial small subunit ribosomal RNA", at positions 524 to 776 of the family's 1533-position model. The record is from RNAcentral.
UACAGAGGGGGCAAGCGUUAUUCGGAAUUAUUGGGCGUAAAGGGUGCGUAGGCGGGCCCUUAAGUCAGUGGUGAAAGCUCCGAGCUUAACUCGGAAACUGCCAUUGAUACUAUAGGUCUUGAAUUCGGUCGAGGUUGGCGGAAUGUGUCGUGUAGCGGUGAAAUGCUUAGAUAUGACACAGAACACCGAUUGCGAAGGCAGCUAGCUAGACCGACAUUGACGCUGAGGCACGAAAGCGUGGGGAGCAAACAGG